This 951-nucleotide ribosomal RNA is filed under the name Trichogrammatoidea bactrae. RNAcentral describes it as "eukaryotic LSU rRNA". It matches the Rfam family "Eukaryotic large subunit ribosomal RNA", at positions 266 to 964 of the family's 3401-position model. Lineage: Eukaryota; Metazoa; Arthropoda; Insecta; Hymenoptera; Trichogrammatidae. The record is from RNAcentral.
CGUGUUGCUUGAUAGUGCAGCUCUAAGUUGGUGGUAAACUCCAUCUAAGGCUAAAUAUGACCACGAGACCGAUAGCGAACAAGUACCGUGAGGGAAAGUUGAAAAGAACUUUGAAGAGAGAGUUAAAUAGUACGUGAAACCGUUCAGGGGUAAACCUGAGGAACCCAAAAGAUCGAUCGGGGAGAUUCAUCGUCAGCGACAGGUCGGCUUGCGUGCGGCUCGCGAUGCUGCGAACUCGUUCGCUGCACGCGGUCGCUGCGCCAUGUCCGGCGUCGCCGGCGUGCACUUCUCCCCUAGUAGGACGUCGCGACCCGUUGGGUGUCGGUCGACGGCCCGGUCGGUUGACCGUCGCGUCGCUCUCGGGCGAGCGUGGCGGACCACCGGUCGCCCGGCCGACUGCCCGGCGGUAUUGAUUUUCGUUAACACGGUAUUGGGCCGCAUUCAAUGCGUCCUGGCUCGUCGACAGGCUGGCCUCGCUCGGAUUUACGGACCUGGUUGCCGUUGCCGGGCGCUUGGCUGGCCGUUUGAGUCGGCGAUGUCCUCGGACCGGCUCCUCCAAUUACCGGUCGGCGACGCUACUGCUUUGGGUACUUUCAGGACCCGUCUUGAAACACGGACCAAGGAGUCUAACAUGCACGCGAGUCAUUGGGAUACGUACGAAGCCCACAGGCGCAAUGAAAGUAAAGGUCCGCUCUAAGCGCGACCGAGGGAGGAUGGCAAGCGACACGUUGCUUGCCCGCACUCCCGGGGCGUCUCGAGCUCAUUGCGAGCUGAGGCGCACCCAGAGCGUGCACGUUGGGACCCGAAAGAUGGUGAACUAUGCCUGGUCAGGAUGAAGUCAGGGGAAACCCUGAUGGAGGUCCGUAGCGAUUCUGACGUGCAAAUCGAUCGUCGGAACUGGGUAUAGGGGCGAAAGACUAAUCGAACCAUCUAGUAGCUGGUUCCUUCCGA